Molecule: ribosomal RNA, 429 nt
Filed under: uncultured bacterium
Lineage: Bacteria
Description: bacterial SSU rRNA
Rfam family: Bacterial small subunit ribosomal RNA
Source: RNAcentral
UGGGGAAUAUUGGACAAUGGGGGCAACCCUGAUCCAGCGACGCCGCGUGUGUGAAGAAGGCCUGCGGGUUGUAAAGCACUUUUAGUGGGGAUGAAAAGCCUAGGGAUAACACCCUUGGGUCUUGACCUAACCCACAGAAAAAGCACCGGCUAACUCUGUGCCAGCAGCCGCGGUAAUACAGAGGGUGCAAGCGUUAAUCGGAAUUACUGGGCGUAAAGCGUGCGUAGACGGUUACAUAAGUCGGGUGUGAAAGCCCCGGGCUCAACCUGGGAAUUGCAUUCGAGACUGCGUAGCUAGGGUGCGGAAGAGGGAAGUGGAAUUUCCGGUGUAGCGGUGAAAUGCGUAGAUAUCGGAAGGAACAUCAGUGGCGAAAGCGACUUCCUGGUCCAGCACCGACGUUCAGGCACGAAAGCGUGGGGAGCAAACAGG